GAUGAACGCUGGCGGCGUGCCUAAUACAUGCAAGUCGAGCGAACGGACGAGAAGCUUGCUUCUCUGAUGUUAGCGGCGGACGGGUGAGUAACACGUGGAUAACCUACCUAUAAGACUGGGAUAACUUCGGGAAACCGGAGCUAAUACCGGAUGAUAUUUUGAACCGCAUGGUUCAAAAGUGAAAGACGGUCUUGCUGUCACUUAUAGAUGGAUCCGCGCUGCAUUAGCUAGUUGGUAAGGUAACGGCUUACCAAGGCAACGAUGGCUAGCCGACCUGAGAGGGUGUUCGGCCACACUGGAACUGAGACGCGGUCCAGACUCCUACGGGAGGCAGCAGUAGGGAAUCUUCCGCGAUGGGCGAAAGCCUGACGGAGCAACGCCGCGUGAGUGCUGCAGGUCUUCGGAUCGUAAAACUCUGUUAUUAGGGAAGAACAUAUGUGUAAGUAACUGUGCACAUCUUGACGGUACCUAAUCAGAAAGCCACGGCUAACUACGUG
Molecule: ribosomal RNA, 497 nt
Filed under: uncultured bacterium
Lineage: Bacteria
Description: partial 16S ribosomal RNA
Rfam family: Bacterial small subunit ribosomal RNA
Source: RNAcentral